CCAACAAAGAAACAACCCACUAUUGACCCCACUAUCAAGCAAAACCUCCCCACCCCAACACACAUUACUAAAUGACUAUAUAAACUGUUACUCCUCGCAUACCUCAAACGAUACCCUUCAGAGAAUGUACUUAUACUAACACAGCAGGGAACCCCCCCCCCCCACCUAUAUGCACCACCCAAAUAGCUCAAGUUAAUGUAGCUUAACUUUAAAGCAAGACACUGAAAAUGUCUAGACGGGUAAUCAUAACCCCAUAAACACAUAGGUUUGGUCCUAGCCUUUCUAUUAGCCCUCAGUGAUAUUACACAUGCAAGCAUCCACGACCCUGUGAGAAUGCCCUCCACCAAAAUGUGAGGAGCAAGUAUCAAGCACGCAAACAUGCAGCUCAAGACACUUUGCUUAGCCACACCCCCACGGGAAACAGCAGUGACAAACUUUUAGCAAUGAACGAAAGUUUAACUAAGUUACACUGACAAUCAGAGUUGGUCAAUUUCGUGCCAGCCACCGCGGCCAUACGAUUGACUCAAGUUAAUAGAGCCUGGCGUAAAGAGUGUUUAAGACUUAAGAUCAAAUUAUUUAAUUUCUUCUUUUUUUUUUUUGAGAUGGAGUUUGCUCUUGUCCCCCAGGCUGGAUCGUUGCCCAGGCUGGCGUGCAGUGCAGCUCACUGCAACCUCCACCUCCCAAGUUCAAGUGAUUCCCCUGCCUCAGCCUCCUGAGUAGCUGGGACUACAGGUACGCACCACCAUGCCCAGCUAAUUUUUUGUAUUAUUAGUAGAAAUGGGAUAUCGCCAGGUUGGGCAGGCUGGUCUCGAACUCCUGAUCUCAGGUGAUCUGCCUGCCUCAGCGUCCCAAAGUGCUGGGAUUACAGGUGUGAGCCACCAUGCUCAGCCAAUUUAAUCUCUUCUACCUAAUUAUUUGCUUUUGAAAAUUUACCAGUUCUCCUUAGUCUCAUUUCUUCUAGCUGUCCUGGAAAGACCUUUCAAUAACUCAGAGAAAAUCAUCAGGCCCAUAUCCUCCCCCACAAAUAACAAAUUAAGAUUUCAGAAUUAGCACUUGGUAAUUUACUUGAAUUUUUGGUUCCUUUUUAAAAUUUAUUCAUUUAUUCAUUCAUUCGAGAUGAAGUCUCUUUGUCAC
Molecule: long non-coding RNA, 1134 nt
Filed under: Callithrix jacchus (white-tufted-ear marmoset)
Lineage: Eukaryota; Metazoa; Chordata; Mammalia; Primates; Cebidae
Description: lncRNA (ENSCJAG00000084214.1)
Rfam family: tRNA (bases 192-260)
Source: RNAcentral